UACUCCUACGGGAGGCAGCAGUGGGGAAUAUUGCGCAAUGGGCGGAAGCCUGACGCAGCAACGCCGCGUGCGGGAUGACGGCCUUCGGGUUGUAAACCGCUUUCAGCAGGGACGAAGCUUUUUGUGACGGUACCUGCAGAAGAAGCACCGGCCAACUACGUGCCAGCAGCCGCGGUAAU
Molecule: ribosomal RNA, 179 nt
Filed under: uncultured soil bacterium
Lineage: Bacteria
Description: partial 16S ribosomal RNA
Rfam family: Bacterial small subunit ribosomal RNA
Source: RNAcentral